CGUCAGGAUGAACGCUAGCGACAGGCUAACACAUGCAAGUCGAGGGGCAGCAUAAAAGUAGCAAUACUUGGUGGCGACCGGCGCACGGGUGAGUAACGCGUAUGCAACCUACCUAUCAGAGGGGAAUAACCCGGCGAAAGUCGGACUAAUACCGCAUAAAACAGGGGCACCGCAUGGUGAUAUUUGUUAAAGAAAUUCGCUGAUAGAUGGGCAUGCGUUCCAUUAGGUAGUUGGUGAGGUAACGGCUCACCAAGCCGACGAUGGAUAGGGGAACUGAGAGGUUGGUCCCCCACACUGGUACUGAGACACGGACCAGACUCCUACGGGAGGCAGCAGUGAGGAAUAUUGGUCAAUGGGCGAGAGCCUGAACCAGCCAAGUCGCGUGAAGGAAGAAGGAUCUAUGGUUCGUAAACUUCUUUUGCAGGGGAAUAAAGUGCAGGACGUGUCCUGUUUUGUAUGUACCCUGAGAAUAAGGAUCGGCUAACUCCGUGCCAGCCGCUGC
This 502-nucleotide ribosomal RNA is filed under the name uncultured bacterium. Its description in RNAcentral is "bacterial SSU rRNA". It matches the Rfam family "Bacterial small subunit ribosomal RNA", at positions 22 to 518 of the family's 1533-position model. The record is from RNAcentral.